UGUGGGGGAAAUGAUUCUUGUGUGUGUGUGUGUGUGUGCCAAAGUCCUUAAUAAGGCACGGGUAGAAAAGAAAAAGAAAAAAAAGAAACAUUCGUGGAAAAUAGAAUGAAAAGAAGAAAAGUUGUGAAAAUAGUGAAAAAGAGUUGAAAAAUUUGUGAAAAAAAAGUGAAAAAAAGCUCUAAAGUGUUGUUUGUUGAAGAAAGGGUCCAAAACAUUGAAUGCGGCCCUAAGUGUUGCUUGAAUCUUCCCUUUGUGUUUAAAAGUUAAUUUAUGCAUUAUUAAGUGAAUUCCAAGUGUCUAUUUCAUUACUUUGCUUGCUAUUGCUUUCAGAAUGUUUGUUAUCCUUAUCCUUUCUUUGUUAGCCAUUACCCUUAAACCCCGUUACAACCCUUAACUUUAUCUUGAGUGUUAUGCGUUUCAAUAUGUGGAGUUUGGAAUUGGUUUGAGCAUAUAGUGUCACUGGUUCUUGCAUCUAAGUAGUAGCAUUCCAUACAUGAGAUCAUAUCUAAACAUGUUGAAUAACUCCAGAAAAUUGCCCUCUUUGUUAUACAUAUAUGUGAGUGUUCGUUUUCAUGUUUACAUCAAUCUUCUCACAUAUAACUAGUGUAGGGUGUGUAGUCAGAAAAUGUGUGUGAAAAUAGAGAGUAUCUUGUAAGGAAUUGAGUAAAUUCUCUAAGGCAUGUUACUACAUUCAAAACAUCGUUUUAAUUGGUUAAUUGUGAACUAGUAAGUGGUGACUAUAAGUAUGUGCUCAAGUGUAAGGAUGACCAAAAUCUGUGGGAAUGAUGAUUUUUAAGAUGUCAUGUUUCAUUAAAAAUCCCUGAGGCAAUUGUUGGAAGGUCUAGGUUGUGUUUUGUUUUUUUUGUUUUUGUUUUGUUUUGUUUUUGCUCAAGGACUAGCAAAAGCUAAGUGUGGGGGAAUUUGAUAGGAGCAUAUUUAUGCGACUUAGUUAGCUUGUUUCUUGGCAUUUAUAUUGUUAGUUCGUAGUUAUUUUAGUAUUUUAAUCUAUUUUCGUGUGUUUGUAGGUCCAAAGGGUUAAUGUGGCAAAGAAGUGCAUUUUGGAGCAUUUUGGAGCAUUUUUGGGCAUGGAAUGGAUGGCAUAUGCUUGGAGCAAAAGGAAUGGACGAAAUUUGAAGUCUGUGCAUCAUUUUAGCACACUCAUUACCAAACACUCAUCCACUACACCCAUUACAU
RNAcentral lists this long non-coding RNA (1194 nucleotides) under Malus domestica (apple). RNAcentral describes it as "long non-coding RNA (MDOM_LNC013026)". The record is from RNAcentral. Lineage: Eukaryota; Viridiplantae; Streptophyta; Magnoliopsida; Rosales; Rosaceae.